GGAAUUGCUAGUAAUGGCAGGUCAGCAUACUGCCGUGAAUACGUUCCCGGGCCUUGUACACACCGCCCGUCACACCAUGAGAGUUAGAAAUACCCGAAGCCUGUGAGCUAACUUUAAUAGAGGCAGCAGUCGAAGGUAGAACUAAUGAUCGGGGUGAAGUCGUAACAAGGUAAC
Molecule: ribosomal RNA, 174 nt
Filed under: uncultured bacterium
Lineage: Bacteria
Description: partial 16S ribosomal RNA
Rfam family: Bacterial small subunit ribosomal RNA
Source: RNAcentral